This is a non-coding RNA of Microcebus murinus (gray mouse lemur), 348 nucleotides long. Lineage: Eukaryota; Metazoa; Chordata; Mammalia; Primates; Cheirogaleidae. The record is from RefSeq and is a predicted model, not a curated record.
GAUGCUCACUGUUCACCCUCCUCCCCAUGCUGACUCAUCGCCUCUCUGUAGCUAUGCAAACACAGCCCCCCUGAACCCCCCGGGAAGACGUAAAUGCAGCCGGGAACCAAGGUUUAAGGAGACAGAGCUGGGUCAUAAGCUGCUUUCUUUUAUCAUCUCUGUUACCCCAGAUAAAUAAUUACCUGUUUCAGGGCCUCCCCGGCCUCCUAAUAUUCACAGAGGGGAUCAUGCUAGCAUCUGCUUCCUAGGAACUCGUUAGAUGCAGACUACAGGUUGUGUCCUCAUCUGGCAGAGAGAAGGGGACAAAGCUCUCUGGGAUUCCUACAAUAAAGCUAGUAAUUUUAAUAA